AUGCAGAGGAGUUUGGGGAAGCUCGAUGGAGGAAGCCGACCACCAUGGAUGGCGCUCGGGAGGUGGGUCGCAGAGAGAAACGACGGGUCGCUCGGAUGGAGGACACAGGCGAGGAGGUCCGGCAAAGGCGGUGCAGACCGGCCGCGGGGCUCGCUGGAGAAGGAGUGGAGGGACGGCAGGAGCUUGGAGCUCGGCGUCCAUGGCAGGAAGAUGAGGCCGGAGGAGGAAGCACAUGGAGGGGCGCAGGGGCACGGCGAUGUUGAUGGCCUCGCGGCCAUGGAGGGCGACGGGCGCGGUCUAGAAGGAGCAGGGCCGACCAAAGCCGGGAGUUGCCGUGGCGAACAAGGCGCGGGCGCCAUGGCGGGGAGGUGGCGGCUUGAUGGGGAGCUCGCGGUGGAUCCUGGCGGCGGCUACGUGACGAGCUCCAGGCGGCGGCGGACACGAAGGAGAGGGAGGACGCGUCGGCGCGGUGGAGAAGGAGGCACGAGGGAGAGGGGCGGCGCCAGAGGAGGACGAAGGGGAGAGAUCAGGGGAUUAAGCGGUGCGGGUGUAGGCGGCGGGCACGGGAGGGAGAGGGAGAGGCUAGGGUUACAGCGGGGGCACGGCUGGGCUGCAGAUGGGCCUUGGAGGCUGGGCCUGGGAGGUCCAAGAGGCCGGCUAGAGCCACUCUCCGUCUCACUUAUUUUCCAUAGCAGAAAAAAUGCAAAGAACGAAAAGGAGUGA
RNAcentral lists this ribosomal RNA (723 nucleotides) under Triticum aestivum (bread wheat). RNAcentral's name for it is "partial small subunit ribosomal RNA". The record is from RNAcentral. Lineage: Eukaryota; Viridiplantae; Streptophyta; Magnoliopsida; Poales; Poaceae.